GCGGGUGUAGUCUCACGUUCAUACUUAACGCCAACAGUCUGCCUCUUGACGGCAAACCACUGCUGGCGAGAUCUGCGACCGGAGCGGCGUCCGGAGAUGGAGGAUUCCGGUGUCGGAGCGGCGACGCGCGGCCCUUUUGGUUUAGAUUUAAGGUCGGAUGAGGGGAUGGAUUCGAUCAGAUGCAGUAAAGUGAUCUCGCUUUUUUUCGGCCCCUAUAUAUUCCAAUUCUUUGUGCUCAGCUGUUCCAACACCUUGAUCUCGCAUUCCGGAGCUCGGUGGAUCGCUUUCGAUGCUGUAAUGAUUCCUUUUUCGUUUGGGUUUUGGUGCUAGGUUUCCUCUUCCGUGCGAGUUUGCUACUCUCCCUGCCUCCCUCUUGUCUCUUUCUGCUUGAUUUCCCUCGAUCAAUUUUCUGCUUUUCAUAAGGAUCUCUGAGAUCUUGGCCUGGAUUCGUGGGUGUUGGUGUUCAUUUAAGAGGCUGUAUUUGAAAUUUUUGAGCUUUUCCCCCUUUGCCUGUCAUCCUUCGUCAUAUUUCAGGAAAAGUGCAGCCUUUUGCAGAGAUUCCGUUGGAGAGAGAAUUAUUCUCUUGGAUCAAACCUUUUUCUCUUCGAAAUUCCUAUAAAUACUAUGUUGCUUUUCUUUUUCCCAAGACCUGUCUCUGUUAAUUUCUAUGUUUCGGUACUCUUUUUCCUCUCGACAUUCACUUCUUGCUUGCUUUAACCCCCACCCGUCGAAGUCCUGGGUUUCGUUUCAUUUGCUAUAAGUCUGUCUUUCUAUAUGAUAGGACUUCAAAAUAGCAUAUUUCUAUCGUCAUCUGUCAGCUUUUUGUGUUAUGAUUUAAUUGUUCCCCUGACAAAGAAACUUAUAAUGCUGUCCUUUUUGGUCUACAAUUUGAACGGGCGACGGUCGAGACGUGAAUGUUGGGUUUCCACAACCUUUAAAUUAAAUCAAAUUCUGAAGCCUAAAGUGAGAGCUUCUUUUCUUUGAACAUGUGGAGAUUUUCUGCUUGGUAUCGGUGCAUCCUUCCAGGAGUUGAGAUGAGUGGGUUUCAGAAUACGGAGGCAGAGUCUGAAAAAGCCAUCCCUUGGAUAUAUAGGAAGGAUGAUCAACAUAUUUGACUUAAGUGCCGGAAUGGCAGGAACCAAAAUGCUGCCGGAAAGAGAUCAUAGAAAUGGUUCUCCAGUUCAUAGAAACAACCCUAAUGUCAACGAAGCCGCCACUCCGAGUGCGACUAACACAGAUAACAAACAAAUAACCAGUGUCCUGUACCAGAAUUCUUCAAAAAAGAAAUCUGGUGGAACACCAAUGAAGAUGCUAAUAGCUCAGGAGAUGUCGAAAGAAACAAAGUCCAAGAGGAAACCACAUAGUGUUGUUGCCCGACUAAUGGGCCUUGAUGAUGAUCUUACAACACAAUUGUCGCCAGUGGCUAGUCAAAGAAAGUUGCUAGAGGGUUACCCUCAAACUGCCUCAGCAGGAGUCCAUAGAGGUCAUCUUCAAGAUGAUGUCUUUUGCAAUAAGGAAGUUCCUUGUGAGCUCCAUCAACAUGAUUGUUUGAAGAUGGAACGCAGAUAUGUAUCUGAAGUCUGGAAGCAGCCAUCACAGAGCAGGAGCAGAAGAUGUGGAGAGACUCAGAAUGACCUAAGAAUGGCUCUUGUCCGUCAAAAAUUCAUGGAAGCAAAGCAUCUAGCCACUGAUGAAAACCUUAUUCACUCCAAGGAAUUUCAGGAUGCGCUAGAGGUUCUGAAUUUAAACAGAGACUUGUUUCUUAAAUUUCUUGAAGAGCCGAAUUCUCUAUUUUCUAAGCAAACAUUUGAUCUUCGCUCUGUCCCUCCACCACCUCAACCAAAUCACAUUACUGUAUUGAAGCCAUCAAAAAAAGUUGAGACGAAGUUUGAAAAAAUGGUGAAGAAGCAGGAAGGUCCAGAGAUUAAGGAGAGUGGAAGGGAAACAAACAAUCACCACUGGAACUCUACCUUCGACCAUUUAAAAGCUGAAAGCUUCUCUCAGCCGACCAGGAUAGUUGUCUUGAAGCCUAGCACAGGAAAUCCUACCAAAGCACCCACUACAACCAUGUCACCUAAGCAUCUAGUACAGGGUGAUCUGGGAGAUAGUGAAGCCUUCGGACCAAAAUCAGAGGAGAGAACUCAGCAGAUGCAUAAGAUUCUAUCUGGUCAUAGGAGGGAUGAGUCUUUGCUAUCUUCUGUUUACUCAAAUAGCUUUGGUGGAGAUGGGAGUUCAUUCAAUCUGUUCGAAACUGACUACAUUGAGGAAGAUGGUGGUGGCUUUAGCGACUCUGAUGUAGCUGCUCCAACGUCACGCCAUUCUUGGGAUAGAUUCAACAGUCCUUGCUCAGUGUCAUCUUUCAGCCGGGUGUCACAUUCACCUGAGUCAUCAGUGAUUAGAGAGGCAAAGAAACGGCUUUCAGAAAGGUGGGCUUUAGUGACAUCAAAUGGUACAAGCCAAGAGCAACUGCAUUUACCUAAGAGCUCAAGCACUUUAGGUGAAAUGCUUGCGAUUUCUGAUGUAAAAAGAGAAGAAUGUGUCAAUAGGUAUACGGUCUCAGCCAGCAGAUCAUGUGGAGGAGAUGAUGAAUUGAUGUUACCAGCAUUCUUCUUAUCGGUGGAUGGAAAAAAGAAUUCAGGAGAGCUUUCCCCUGAAAAUUUAUCAAGAUCAAAGUCUGUCCCAGUCUCUUGUUCAGCUUACAAAGACAUUGGCUUGAAAUAUGAAGGUUCCAACACUCAGCUUUGUGAACCCACUGUGUCAGAGGUGUCAAAGACCAAACACGGUAAAUCAUCUUUCAGAGGAAGAUUCUCUAGCUUUUUCUUUUCUAGGAGCAAGGAAACUAGAAAAAGACCUGUUUCUUCUACCAUGGUGGGCUCUGGUGGUGCUGAUGUGGUAGCAAGCAGAACUGAUGAGAUGCUAAAAUCAGUUCAUGGUAGUUCGUCUGCAAACAGUCAAGUAAAAGAUGAGGAACAAUCUGCCAGUACAGCUUCAAUAUCGGUGACAAAUGUUUCCAAAAAACACAUGCAAUCAGUUGAAAACUCCAGGACAAGUGACAAAUCUAGUGAGGAGGAGAAACUCAGUCCACGUCAAAAUUACACGAACAACCUGGACCAACCUAGCCCUACUUCAAUUCUGGAUGCACAAUUUGAAGAUGAUGUGAAUGGAAAUCUAUUGCAGACAUCUGAAGCAAAUGCUAGACAACAACUAAUAUCCAGGGCUUCACCUAUAGAGUCAGUUGCUCGUACUUUGUCAUGGGAUGACACCCAUCUGGAAAUGCGACUCCCCGAGCCCUCAAGUUUUAAAGUAGCUUUGUCCAAGGCAGAUGGUGCUGACCAAGAUCAUUUUGUAUUUGUUCAGAAAUUGCUAUCUUAUGCUGGCUUGGAGAAAUCUGAUAUGAUGUUCACUGGAUGGCACUCUCCUGAUAGCCCAUUGGAUCCAGUGUUACUUGACAAACUCUUGGGUCUGAAAGAAGAUGAAUCUAAGUGCAUGGACAAAGGUCCAACCCUGAGGCUCCUAUUUGACUGUGUGAACUUGGCCCUUUUAGAAGUCAGUUGGUCUACCUUAAUGAGUGUAUACCCAUGGAACAGGGCGUCCUGUGGGGCACAGGUUAAUGCUUGUGCAAGUUCUGCCUUGUCAGAGGACGUGUGGGGUCUCGUGAGGGAUUGGUCUUCUGGCAACCGGACGGUGGUGUUUACUGAGAAUGACAUUGGUAGUCUAGUUGUGGAUAGAGUAUUGAGGGCUGAGGCGGGAGGAAACAGAUGGGUUGAAUUGAACAGGAUAGUAGAGGAGAUUGCUAAAGAAAUAACUGGUGAUGUAUUGAAGGAUUUGGUUGGAGAGGCUUUUUCAGAUCUUGCUGCUGCAUGUAUCUACUGAUGCCUUCUUUUCCCUCUCAGCCUCUUCUACUUGGCUUUGUUGUUUUUGCCGCAGCGUUCAGAUUUCUACCAUGCCACAGGCUGGAAUGGAUGCCCGGUCAAGCCUGGGAAAUUUCCCGAGAUGCCACCAUUUGGAACCACGACGUGCUCCUCCAAGGAUUGGCCUAAGGGAGACACCAUUUGAUCAGGUCAAAGAAAAGGACAAGUUCACAGUGAGGGCUGCAGAGAGAGAUUGCUAAUGAGGUCGAGAGAAUCUUUGAGUCUAGUAACGGAGCAUUGUCGUUUGAUGGAUUUGGCCAAUCGACGAACAAGGUGACAUCGAGGCAUUGUUGAGGUCGGACGUGGAGGUAGCUUCCUUUCACAUGGAAAGCAUCAGUCUAUAGCAGGCAGUGGAGCAAGCAACGAAGCAGCUCUAAGCAGAAGAGGAGAGGAGGCCAGAGUACUGGGUAGGCCAUUGGGAUCGCCACCUUUAACCCAAGCAACACUCCUUAACAGUUGGCACAUUGGGUAUCAACGUACGAUAUCCCAAACGUGCUACGAUCAUCUCGGCCUCAAGCUCCCAAAAGGCCACAACAACAAGCAGCCAACUAAUAGGAAGGUUGCUUUCGUCAGAUCCAAUGGACUCGAUAAUCACAGUGAGUUUUCUCCGCCUACGACAAAAAGGGAAAUUCGAGUUAGUGAAGAAGCCGAGUGUGGGCUCCUAGAGGAGGAAGUCGAGACAACUAUCAAAACCAAAGAAAAUUGGGUUACUAAGGUUACUAUCAAUCAUUUUUAUGUUAUGCAAAACAUAAACAAAAUUGAAAGACACAGAUAUACAUGAGCAUUACAUCAAAUACUCCGCUUAUAGUUUUGUCCAUGACACUUAGUGGAAAACUUUAGUGUCAUAUAAUAGUUGAAAUAAUCGCACAUAAACAAAUGAGGGUUGGGCACCCGAUCCGAAUGUAACAUAUAGGUCUAUUAUCCCCGACCCCAGUGAAGCUAGUAAGUCUAGAUGAGAUGGGUUGAAGAUAUUCAUGCUUAGACCAAUUGUUUGAAAUGCAUUAAAAUAUAUGAUGUCGACAGAACUCUUGGUAUCAACCAGGAUCCUCUUUACUAGUUCAUUAAAAACUUUGAGCAACACGACAAGAGCUCUAAGUGCUUA
Molecule: RNA transcript, 5013 nt
Organism: Musa acuminata AAA Group (dessert banana)
Lineage: Eukaryota; Viridiplantae; Streptophyta; Magnoliopsida; Zingiberales; Musaceae
Exons: 9
Source: RefSeq, a predicted model, not a curated record